GGUCUCAUCGGACAUUCCUUCUAUGCGAAGGAGGUCACAGACUUGAUAAAACUCUCUUAGGUGUGUGUAUGGGUUUUCCUCACCUUCUCCUGAGAAAGGUUGUUUUUGAACAAAUUCUAUGUAUUCGGGGUCUAUCUCAAAACUAGAUGUCAUGAUAGGCUUUGAAGAUUUUGGUGGUUCGAGAUGUGUGCCCGUAGGUCUAUGAAAUUCAUAGAUAGACAUGUUUGAAUUCAUGAUAGACCAGAAAUCAAGGAUUAGAUAAGAAGAAAGAUUAGCAGAGAUGAGGCAAAGGAUAAAAGGAAAAUAUUUUUUUAUUUUUUAGAAAAUGAUUAAGCUAGUUCGUAGUCAACUCAGCAACCGUUUCCCCGGCAACGACGCCAAAAAUGCUUGUUGACACUUGCUAACACCACUUGAAUACUAGGUUG
Molecule: long non-coding RNA, 425 nt
Filed under: Sorghum bicolor (sorghum)
Lineage: Eukaryota; Viridiplantae; Streptophyta; Magnoliopsida; Poales; Poaceae
Description: long non-coding RNA (SBIC_LNC010848)
Source: RNAcentral